This 377-nucleotide ribosomal RNA is filed under the name uncultured bacterium. RNAcentral describes it as "bacterial SSU rRNA". It matches the Rfam family "Bacterial small subunit ribosomal RNA", at positions 523 to 898 of the family's 1533-position model. The record is from RNAcentral.
AUACGUAGGUGGCAAACGUUGUCCGGAUUUAUUGGGCGUAAAGGGAGCGCAGGCGGUUUAUUAAGUCUGAUGUGAAAGCCUUCGGCUUAACCGGAGAAGUGCAUCGGAAACUGAUAAACUUGAGUGCAGAAAAGGAUAGUGGAACUUCAUGUGUAGCGGUGAAAUGCGUAGAUAUAUGAAGGAACACCAGUGGCGAAGGCGGCUAUCUGGUCUGUAACUGACGCUGAGGCUCGAAAGCAUGGGUAGCAAACAGGAUUAGAUACCCUGGUAGUCCAUGCCGUAAACGAUGAAUGCUAGGUGUUGGAAGGUUUCCGCCUUUCAGUGCCGCAGCUAACGCAUUAAGCAUUCCGCCUGGGGAGUACGACCGCAAGGUUGAA